UACGAAGGGGGCUAGCGUUGCUCGGAAUCACUGGGCGUAAAGGGUGCGUAGGCGGGUCUUUAAGUCAGAGGUGAAAUCCUGGAGCUCAACUCCAGAACUGCCUUUGAUACUGAGGAUCUUGAGUUCGGGAGAGGUGAGUGGAACUGCGAGUGUAGAGGUGAAAUUCGUAGAUAUUCGCAAGAACACCAGUGGCGAAGGCGGCUCACUGGCCCGAUACUGACGCUGAGGCACGAAAGCGUGGGGAAGCAAACAGGG
Molecule: ribosomal RNA, 255 nt
Filed under: uncultured bacterium
Lineage: Bacteria
Description: partial 16S ribosomal RNA
Rfam family: Bacterial small subunit ribosomal RNA
Source: RNAcentral